Molecule: ribosomal RNA, 533 nt
Filed under: Malassezia sympodialis
Lineage: Eukaryota; Fungi; Basidiomycota; Malasseziomycetes; Malasseziales; Malasseziaceae
Description: eukaryotic LSU rRNA
Rfam family: 5.8S ribosomal RNA (bases 1-179)
Source: RNAcentral
UCGAUGAAGAACGCAGCGAAACGCGAUAGGUAAUGUGAAUUGCAGAAUUCCUUUUGCAUCGGUUNAAACGCAGCGAAACGCGAUAGGUAAUGUGAAUUGCAGAAUUCCGUGAAUCAUCGAAUCUUUGAACGCACCUUGCGCUCCAUGGUAUUCCGUGGAGCAUGCCUGUUUGAGUGCCGCGAAUUCUCCCUCCCCUUACGGUGGCCGAAAGGCCGAAGUAGGGCGGACGGGGUAGGAUGGGUGUUGCUGCCUGGGGAUUGUACCAGGCUCGCCCGAAAUGCAUAAGCGCCAGGACCCUCGCUACCGCUCUCUAGGGAAGAGUGGCUAAGCGACCGCUGAGCAUGGCAUGAUACGUCAUUUGCUGUGUGUGGGCGGCCGGUUGGAGAGGUGUCUGCUUUACCAGCCCUUUUUUAAUUCUGGUCUCAAAUCAGGUAGGAUCACCCGCUGAACUUAAGCAUAUCAAAAGCCGGAGGACUGGUCUCAAAUCAGGUAGGAUCACCCGCUGAACUUAAGCAUAUCAAUAAGCGGAGGAA